CCGAGUUGUAAUUUGCAGAGGGCGCUUUGGCGUUGGCAGCGGUCCAAGUUCUUUGGAACAGGACGUCACAGAGGGUGAGAAUCCCGUACGUGGUCGCUAGCCUUCGCCGUGUAAAGCCCCUUCGACGAGUCGAGUUGUUUGGGAAUGCAGCUCUAAAUGGGAGGUAAAUUUCUUCUAAAGCUAAAUACUGGCCAGAGACCGAUAGCGCACAAGUAGAGUGAUCGAAAGAUGAAAAGCACUUUGGAAAGAGAGUCAAAUAGCACGUGAAAUUGUUGAAAGGGAAGCGCUUGCAGCCAGACUUGCCUGUAGUUGCUUAUCCGGACUUUUGUCCGGUGCACUCUUCUGCGGGCAGGCCAGCAUCAGUUUGGGCGGUUGGAUAA
RNAcentral lists this ribosomal RNA (380 nucleotides) under Dothideomycetes sp. 2231 RO-2014. RNAcentral describes it as "LSU rRNA". It matches the Rfam family "Eukaryotic large subunit ribosomal RNA", at positions 138 to 522 of the family's 3401-position model. The record is from RNAcentral. Lineage: Eukaryota; Fungi; Ascomycota; Dothideomycetes.